RNAcentral lists this long non-coding RNA (2228 nucleotides) under Ananas comosus (pineapple). RNAcentral describes it as "long non-coding RNA (ACOM_LNC024569)". The record is from RNAcentral. Lineage: Eukaryota; Viridiplantae; Streptophyta; Magnoliopsida; Poales; Bromeliaceae.
CAUAAAUUACAAGCACACACACGUCAUUUGUUUGAUCGUCUUCAACUUCUUGAUCCGAUCCGGAGCUACAAUUUGAUCCGAUCCUAUCACAUCUUGAUCCGACCGCCAUCAACUGCUCAUCUCGAUCAAGUCUUUUUAUACUUCUCGACUUGCAAUCGAUCAACCAAUGACAUGCAACCAUACAUUAUAUAACCCAACAAUAAAAAUGAAAUAAAAAUUAACUACAUUUGAUAACUUUUAUCUCUAACCUAUUGAGACACGCAGGUCUCCAAAUAAAUCGGCUUGUGCACGCAGACACAAAUAUAGCCAUCUCUAAUACAAAGUCCUUAAUUUAAACAAAUUUAAAAUUACAGAAUUCUGCAUACACAUCAAACAUCACAUGUCGAAACAAAAAUAAAUAGGUCGCUAUCCAUAAUCAUCACCGAUAUGUAUCUCAUACAUCACAUACAUAAUAAACAAUUUUGGAUAUUCUAAUUAACCGUUCAACGAUGAUUCGAAAAAUUAGUGACUAAAUUAUUAAAAACAAUCAAUCUUAUUGAUCAUUUAUAAUUUUGAUCAACAACUUAAUUUUCAAACAUAACAACUUGACCUCUUCAAGUUAUUAAUUCGAUCUAAUCNCAUACAUCACAUACAUAAUAAAUAAUUUUGGAUAUUCUAAUUAACCGUUCAACGAUGAUUCGAAAAAUUAGUGACUAAAUUAUUAAAAACAAUCAAUCUUAUUGAUCAUUUAUAAUCUUGAUCAACAACUUAAUUUUCAAACAUAACAACUUGACCUCUUCAAGUUAUUAAUUCGAUCUAAUCAAAUUAGGUCUCUCUCUCUCUCUCUCUCUCUCUCUCUCUCUAUAUAUAUAUAUAUAUAUAUAUAUAUAUGCUUCUUGGCUAGAUAAUUUUAAUCUUGAAGAACAUGAGGAUGGCUCUGAUACUACUGUGAUAAAAUUGAGUACGGUAAAAACGUAGCGGAAAAAGAAAUCAAACAAAUUUGAUUUUGAAAACUCUCGAGAUCCAAUCUCAAAAACCACGCAAUUAGGAUCCUUUAUGUUCUUUAAGAUUAAAAGAGAAUAGCAAGAUCGAAUCUUUACCUUUUUCGCGGAUAGAUCUUCACCUCAACUUGAUGAUCGUGGAAUCGGGUUCUCUUGAAGCCGCAAACGCAUCCGGCCUCUAUAGGUAUCCACACGAGGUUCUUGAUUUGAUCGAUGUCCUCACCGGGAUGCUAGCUCCCUUGCAAAGGACAUCUUUCUUGCUAGAAUAUAGAAAAGAGAGGAGAAGAGAAAUGACGAAUAGGGUUUUCUAAAAACUCUCGUAUAUUAUAUAGAGGAAUAUAAUUCUCUUUCUAAUAAUAUAAUGACAAUUAAGGAUAAGUACAAAUCUAGAUUUAAAUUUAUCCUUUCCUUAAUUGGUUAGAUCGAUCAAAUCCUAAUUUGAUUCGACUUGAACUUUAUAUUAAUUUGAUCUUAUCAAAUUAAUAAUGCAACAUUUGCACAUAAGUCCUCUUAUAAUUUACUAACUAUUAGUAAGUCCUCUCUUGUAACAUUUAUACUUUAAUACUACUAAUUUGUAACAAUUACAAAUUAGUUCAAUUAUCAACAUAUUGACAAUUAAGUCCUCCGGCGAUUCAAUAAUCGCGAUCUAGCUAUCCGAUCAAUCACAACCUCUUAUGUGUGUGACCCCAUAGGUUCUAUUCUAUCUGGUAGUAAGAUAUAUUUUGAUCACUAUCAACAAUAUCACUGAAACUCCUUUCAGUGGAUCGGAACAAUUCCAACUUAGCCCAAUGAGAAUUAUCGAUCAUCUAGAUAUAUAAUUCUCAUGAGUCCCACAAUCCACCAGUGACACCUAGCAGCAUGUAGUGGCAUUCCAGUAGAAUGGAAUACUGAACCUCUUGGUGCAGUUACCGUGUGAUACAGUCCUUCUAUCAUGAGUCCCGACUAGACGAAGGUUAUGGAAUAACUCGUCAAACCCCAUCAUCUGUCAUAUGUUAAAUUUAUUCGACUCGAGUUUCUAAUAUCGGAAGCACUUUUUCCACUAUUAACUCUGUCUUGGCCAAGGUCUUCUAAACUCGGUCUCAUAAAUCACAUAGGACUAACACCCCUAUCUACCAAGAAAAAUAGAUUCCAUCUAAGUGCGCACCCUAUUCCUACAAUGAACCUACUGCAGCCAACAUGCACCGCAAGGACCCGAAUGGCUAGGGACCAAGUGUAUGUACAGUCAAACUACAGUAACCUCAUUGUGAA